RNAcentral lists this ribosomal RNA (315 nucleotides) under Triticum aestivum (bread wheat). RNAcentral's name for it is "partial small subunit ribosomal RNA". Lineage: Eukaryota; Viridiplantae; Streptophyta; Magnoliopsida; Poales; Poaceae. The record is from RNAcentral.
AUGCCUUCCUGGCCCAACAGCAACGAGUCAUCCGACGAUGACGAGUACAACAACAUGCAGAUGGAGUAUUUUCAAACUCCUGACACGGUGAUAGAUCCAAGUUUCUGCGGGCUUGUGGUUGAAUCUGAUCAUAACCGCAUCCUGCACAGGCAGAGACCAGGCAGGUUUGUGGCAUUUGAAGGGACUGACACUGGAAGGAGAUUCAUUGGAUGUGCUACUACGGAUGGUGUGCUGUGGUGUUCUGGAGUGGGUAGAUGCCCCUUGGCCAGUAAUUCUGCAAAUGUGUUUAACCAAGUUGUGGGAUAUGUAUCAUGA